Molecule: ribosomal RNA, 468 nt
Filed under: uncultured bacterium
Lineage: Bacteria
Description: partial 16S ribosomal RNA
Rfam family: Bacterial small subunit ribosomal RNA
Source: RNAcentral
GACGAACGCUGGCGGCGUGCUUAACACAUGCAAGUCGAACGGAAAGGCCGUGCUUUCUUGGGGUGCUCGAGUCGGGAACGGGUGUGUAACACGUGAGUAUCCUGCCCUUGACUUUGUGAUAACUUCAGGAAACCGGUGCUAACACCUGAUUGGUGCUCCUGCUGCAUGGUGGUCGUUGGAAAUUAUCGGCGGAAGGGGAUGGACUCGCGGGUUAUCAGCUUGUUGGUGGGGGAGUGGCUUACCCAGGGUUUGACGGGUAGGCGGCAUGAGAGGGUGACCGGCCACAAUGGGACUGAGGUACGGCCCAGACUCCAACGGGAGGCAGCAGUGGGGAAUAUUACACAGUGGGCGGAAGCCUGAUGCGGAGACGCCGCGUGCGGGAAGACGUCCUUCGGGUUGUGAACCGCUUUCAGCUGUGACGAAGCGGUAGUGACGGUAAUGGGUAAAGAAGCACCGGCUAACUACGUG